CAGCAUGAACUUAGCUUGCUAAGUUUGAUGGCGACCGGCGCACGGGUGAGUAACACGUAUCCAACCUUCCGUUUACUCAGGGAUAGCCUUUCGAAAGAAAGAUUAAUACCUGAUAGUAUGGUGAGAUUGCAUGAUAACACCAUUAAAGAUUUAUUGGUAAACGAUGGGGAUGCGUUCCAUUAGGUAGUAGGCGGGGUAACGGCCCACCUAGCCGACGAUGGAUAGGGGUUCUGAGAGGAUGAACGGCCACACUGGAACUGAGACACGGUCCAAACUCC
This 278-nucleotide ribosomal RNA is filed under the name uncultured Bacteroides sp. Its description in RNAcentral is "partial 16S ribosomal RNA". It matches the Rfam family "Bacterial small subunit ribosomal RNA", at positions 68 to 339 of the family's 1533-position model. The record is from RNAcentral. Lineage: Bacteria; Pseudomonadati; Bacteroidota; Bacteroidia; Bacteroidales; Bacteroidaceae.